RNAcentral lists this ribosomal RNA (151 nucleotides) under Caltha palustris. Its description in RNAcentral is "5.8S ribosomal RNA". It matches the Rfam family "5.8S ribosomal RNA". From Rfam's summary of the family: 5.8S ribosomal RNA (5.8S rRNA) is a component of the large subunit of the eukaryotic ribosome. Lineage: Eukaryota; Viridiplantae; Streptophyta; Magnoliopsida; Ranunculales; Ranunculaceae. The record is from RNAcentral.
GAAUGACUCUCGGCAACGGAUAUCUCGGCUCUUGCAUCGAUGAAGAACGUAGCGAAAUGCGAUACUUGGUGUGAAUUGCAGAAUCCCGUGAACCAUCGAGUCUUUGAACGCAAGUUGCGCCCGAUGCCACUAGGUUGAGGGCACGUCUGCC